This 1543-nucleotide ribosomal RNA is filed under the name Pectobacterium parmentieri. RNAcentral's name for it is "bacterial SSU rRNA". It matches the Rfam family "Bacterial small subunit ribosomal RNA". Lineage: Bacteria; Pseudomonadati; Pseudomonadota; Gammaproteobacteria; Enterobacterales; Pectobacteriaceae. The record is from RNAcentral.
AAAUUGAAGAGUUUGAUCAUGGCUCAGAUUGAACGCUGGCGGCAGGCCUAACACAUGCAAGUCGAGCGGUAGCACAGAAGAGCUUGCUCUUCGGGUGACGAGCGGCGGACGGGUGAGUAAUGUCUGGGAAACUGCCUGAUGGAGGGGGAUAACUACUGGAAACGGUAGCUAAUACCGCAUAACGUCUUCGGACCAAAGAGGGGGACCUUCGGGCCUCUUGCCAUCGGAUGUGCCCAGAUGGGAUUAGCUAGUAGGUGAGGUAAUGGCUCACCUAGGCGACGAUCCCUAGCUGGUCUGAGAGGAUGACCAGCCACACUGGAACUGAGACACGGUCCAGACUCCUACGGGAGGCAGCAGUGGGGAAUAUUGCACAAUGGGCGCAAGCCUGAUGCAGCCAUGCCGCGUGUGUGAAGAAGGCCUUCGGGUUGUAAAGCACUUUCAGCGGGGAGGAAGGCGGCAAGGUUAAUAACCUUGUCGAUUGACGUUACCCGCAGAAGAAGCACCGGCUAACUCCGUGCCAGCAGCCGCGGUAAUACGGAGGGUGCAAGCGUUAAUCGGAAUGACUGGGCGUAAAGCGCACGCAGGCGGUCUGUUAAGUUGGAUGUGAAAUCCCCGGGCUUAACCUGGGAACUGCAUUCAAAACUGACAGGCUAGAGUCUUGUAGAGGGGGGUAGAAUUCCAGGUGUAGCGGUGAAAUGCGUAGAGAUCUGGAGGAAUACCGGUGGCGAAGGCGGCCCCCUGGACAAAGACUGACGCUCAGGUGCGAAAGCGUGGGGAGCAAACAGGAUUAGAUACCCUGGUAGUCCACGCUGUAAACGAUGUCGACUUGGAGGUUGUGCCCUUGAGGCGUGGCUUCCGGAGCUAACGCGUUAAGUCGACCGCCUGGGGAGUACGGCCGCAAGGUUAAAACUCAAAUGAAUUGACGGGGGCCCGCACAAGCGGUGGAGCAUGUGGUUUAAUUCGAUGCAACGCGAAGAACCUUACCUACUCUUGACAUCCACAGAAUUUGGUAGAGAUACCUUAGUGCCUUCGGGAACUGUGAGACAGGUGCUGCAUGGCUGUCGUCAGCUCGUGUUGUGAAAUGUUGGGUUAAGUCCCGCAACGAGCGCAACCCUUAUCCUUUGUUGCCAGCACGUAAUGGUGGGAACUCAAAGGAGACUGCCGGUGAUAAACCGGAGGAAGGUGGGGAUGACGUCAAGUCAUCAUGGCCCUUACGAGUAGGGCUACACACGUGCUACAAUGGCGUAUACAAAGAGAAGCGACCUCGCGAGAGCAAGCGGACCUCAUAAAGUACGUCGUAGUCCGGAUUGGAGUCUGCAACUCGACUCCAUGAAGUCGGAAUCGCUAGUAAUCGUAGAUCAGAAUGCUACGGUGAAUACGUUCCCGGGCCUUGUACACACCGCCCGUCACACCAUGGGAGUGGGUUGCAAAAGAAGUAGGUAGCUUAACCUUCGGGAGGGCGCUUACCACUUUGUGAUUCAUGACUGGGGUGAAGUCGUAACAAGGUAACCGUAGGGGAACCUGCGGUUGGAUCACCUCCUUA